GUGAUGGGUCGCCUCACCGCGGCGUCCGACGCAAGAAGGACGACGAGGAAAGUCCGGGCAACGCAGAGCACCCUGCUUCCUAACGGGAAGGACUGGCCAGUAUCAUGCGAACCAGGACAGCCAGUGCCACAGAAAAUAACCGCCCUUAUUUGAGUUAUGAAUUAUGAGUUAUGAGUUGUCGUUCGGCUAAUUCAUAGCUCAUAAUUCAUAACUCAUAAUUCCAAAAAGGGUAAGGGUGAAAAGGUGCGGUAAGAGCGCACCAGCGGGCGGGUGACCGUUCCGGCUGGGUAAACCUCAGGGGUUGAAAGACCAAAUAAGCUGGUAGGCCGGCGCUUCUUCGGAAGCAUCGGCACCGGGCGGCUCGUCCGGCGCCAGCGGGUAGGUUGAUGGAGCCUUUCGGCAACGACUGGCCUAGAUAAAUGGUGAGGCAGUGGCUUCGGCCACGGACAAAACCCGGCUUACAGACCCAUCACCCAA
Molecule: RNase P RNA, 477 nt
Filed under: Bacteroidota bacterium
Lineage: Bacteria; Pseudomonadati; Bacteroidota
Description: RNase P RNA component class A
Rfam family: Bacterial RNase P class A
About the family: Ribonuclease P (RNase P) is a ubiquitous endoribonuclease, found in archaea, bacteria and eukarya as well as chloroplasts and mitochondria. Its best characterised activity is the generation of mature 5'-ends of tRNAs by cleaving the 5'-leader elements of precursor-tRNAs. Cellular RNase Ps are ribonucleoproteins.
Source: RNAcentral